Molecule: ribosomal RNA, 611 nt
Filed under: Salmonella enterica
Lineage: Bacteria; Pseudomonadati; Pseudomonadota; Gammaproteobacteria; Enterobacterales; Enterobacteriaceae
Description: partial 23S ribosomal RNA
Rfam family: Bacterial large subunit ribosomal RNA
Source: RNAcentral
AACCGAGUCUUAACCGGGCGUUAAGUUGCAGGGUAUAGACCCGAAACCCGGUGAUCUAGCCAUGGGCAGGUUGAAGGUUGGGUAACACUAACUGGAGGACCGAACCGACUAAUGUUGAAAAAUUAGCGGAUGACCUGUGGCUGGGGGUGAAAGGCCAAUCAAACCGGGAGAUAGCUGGUUCUCCCCGAAAGCUAUUUAGGUAGCGCCUCGUGAAUUCAUCUCCGGGGGUAGAGCACUGUUUCGGCUAGGGGGCCAUCCCGGCUUACCAACCCGAUGCAAACUGCGAAUACCGGAGAAUGUUAUCACGGGAGACACACGGCGGGUGCUAACGUCCGUCGUGAAGAGGGAAACAACCCAGACCGCCAGCUAAGGUCCCAAAGUCAUGGUUAAGUGGGAAACGAUGUGGGAAGGCCCAGACAGCCAGGAUGUUGGCUUAGAAGCAGCCAUCAUUUAAAGAAAGCGUAAUAGCUCACUGGUCGAGUCGGCCUGCGCGGAAGAUGUAACGGGGCUAAACCAUGCACCGAAGCUGCGGCAGCGACGCUUAUGCGUUGUUGGGUAGGGGAGCGUUCUGUAAGCCUGUGAAGGUGUGUCGUGAGGCAUGCUGGAGGUAU